UGGCGCUAUAGAACUCUGUACCGCAAGGGACCGAUGAAAUAGCAAUGAAAAACCCAAGCUACGAGCAGCAAAGAUAAACCCUUGUACCUUUUGCAUCAUGAUCUAGCAAGACUAACCAAGCAAAACGCAUUUAAGCUUGCCCCCCCGAAACCUGAGCGAGCUACUCACGAGCAGCUAAUUAUGAGCGAACCCGUCUCUGUGGCAAAAGAGUGGGAUGACUUGUUAGUAGAGGUGAAAAGCCUACCGAGCCAGGUGAUAGCUGGUUGCCUGUGAAAAGAAUCUAAGUUCACCCUUGACUUUGCCCCAUUCCCCCGGAUCAAACAACCCAACACCAAACCUACGAUGUAGCAGUCAAGAGAAAUUUAAAGGAGGAACAGCUCCUUUUAAAAAGGAUACAACCUCUCCCAGCGGAUAACCUCCGAGCAUUAAACCCGCCUGUGGGCCUUCAAGCAGCCACCAACAAAGAAUGCGUCAAAGCUCCCUAUCAUAAAAAAAUCUAAAAACGACAUGACUCCCUCACCCCCAACAGGCCAACCUAUGCCCAAUAGGAGAACUAAUGCUAGAAUGAGUAACUAGGGACCACCCUCUCCAGGCGCAAACUUACAUUCCCCCAAAUCAUUAACAACACGCCUGAUACUUUAACCCCAACAAGACCAAGUAUCUGACAUCUUGUUAGUCCCACUCAGGUGCGCCCAUCAGAAAGAUUUAAAUCUGCAAAAGGAACUAGGCAAGCACAAGGCCCGACUGUUUACCAAAAACAUAGCCUCUAGCAGAGCCAAGUAUUAGAGGUGAUGCCUGCCCAGUGACAUAAAAUGUUAAACGGCCGCGGUAUCCUAACCGUGCGAAGGUAGCGCAAUCAAUUGUCCCAUAAAUCGAGACUUGUAUGAACGGCUAAACGAGGUCUUAACUGUCUCUUGCAGAUAAUCAGUGAAAUUGAUCUCCCCGUGCAAAAGCGGGGAUGACUCCAUAAGACGAGAAGACCCUGUGGAACUUGAAAAUCAACGGCCACCACACAUCCCCCUACAGCCCACAGGGCCCACAUCAACAAGCACUGGCUCGCAUUUUUUCGGUUGGGGCGACCUUGGAGUAAAAUAAACCCUCCAAAAUUAAGACCACACAUCUUAACCAAGAACAACCCAUCAACGUGCAAACAGCAACCUGACCCAAUAACAAUUGACCAAUGAACCAAGCUACCCCAGGGAUAACAGCGCAAUCCCCUCCAAGAGCCCCUAUCGACAAGGGGGUUUACGACCUCGAUGUUGGAUCAGGACAUCCUAAUGGUGCAGCCGCUAUUAAGGGUUCGUUUGUUCAACGAUUAACAGUCCUACGUGAUCUGAGUUCAGACCGGAGCAAUCCAGGUCGGUUUCUAUCUAUGACCUGGCUUUUCUUAGUACGAAAGGACCAGAAAAGCAAGGCCAAUGCCACAGGUAAGCCUUCCCAAUAAGUAAUGACCCUAACUAAAUUACGAACUGGGCCCCAACUUCAACAUCCCUAAAAAAGGGUUGCUAGCGUAGCAAAGCCUGGUAAAUGCAAAAGGCUUAAGCCCUUUAACUAGAGGUUCAAAUCCUCUCUCUAGCUCCACC
Molecule: ribosomal RNA, 1583 nt
Filed under: Merops nubicus (carmine bee-eater)
Lineage: Eukaryota; Metazoa; Chordata; Aves; Coraciiformes; Meropidae
Description: Bacterial large subunit ribosomal RNA
Rfam family: Bacterial large subunit ribosomal RNA
Source: Rfam by way of RNAcentral